RNAcentral lists this ribosomal RNA (844 nucleotides) under uncultured eukaryote. RNAcentral describes it as "bacterial SSU rRNA". It matches the Rfam family "Eukaryotic small subunit ribosomal RNA", at positions 41 to 926 of the family's 1831-position model. The record is from RNAcentral.
AGAUUAGCCAUGCAUGUGUAAGUAUAAGCGAUUUAUACGGUGAAACUGCGAACGGCUCAAUAUAUCAGUUAUAGUUUCUUUGGUAUUUAUUUUGCUAAAUGGACAAUUGUAGUAAUUCUAGAGCUAAUACAUGCGUAAACGCCCGACUUACGGAGGGCGGUAUUUAUUAGAUAUAAGCCAACAUUUUUUGGUGAUUCAUAAUAACUAAGCGGACCGUAGUGCUUUAUUGCGACGGUGAAUCAUUCAAGUUUCUGCCCCAUCAGUUGUGGAUGAUAAGGUAUUGGCUUAUCAUGACGUUUACGGGUGACGGAGAAUUAGGGUUCGAUUCCGGAGAGGGAGCCUGAGAGACGGCUACCACAUCUAAGGAAGGCAGCAGGCGCGAAAAUUAUCCAAUUCCGACUCGGAGAGAUAGUGACGAAGUAUAAGCUUGUGGAGCCCUUCGGGUUUCACUUAGCGAAUGAGAACAGUGUAAAACAUUUAACGAGGAUCAAUUGGAGGGCAAGUCUGGUGCCAGCAGCCGCGGUAAUUCCAGCUCCAAUAGCGUAUAUUAAAGUUGUUGCAGUUAAAAAGCUCGUAGUUGAACUUCUGGUAGGAGGGGCCCAGGCUUAGGAUGAAUGUCCUUGUGCUUUGUGUGUCCUUCUGGCCAUCCUUCUCUUUUUCGGAAGAGAUCGUUUACUGUAAAAAAAUUAGAGUGUUUCAAGCAAAAAGUAUUUUGGAAUAUAUUAGUAUGGAAUAAUAAGAUAGGACUUUGGUGCUAUUUUGUUGGUUUGCACAUCAAGUUAAUGAUUAAUAGGGACAGAUGGGGGUAUUCGUAUUUAAUUGUCAGAGGUGAAAUUCUUGGAUU